RNAcentral lists this ribosomal RNA (504 nucleotides) under uncultured bacterium. RNAcentral's name for it is "bacterial SSU rRNA". It matches the Rfam family "Bacterial small subunit ribosomal RNA", at positions 24 to 518 of the family's 1533-position model. The record is from RNAcentral.
UCAGGAUGAACGCUAGCGGCAGGCUUAACACAUGCAAGUCGAGGGGCAGCGGGAUGUAGCAAUACAUUGCCGGCGACCGGCGGAUGGGUGCGUAACGCGUAUGCAACCUACCUUAGUACAGGGGAAUAACCUUUCGAAAGGGAGACUAACACCCCAUAGUAUUGAUUUAAGGCAUCUUAGAUUAAUUAAAUAUUUAUAGGUAUAAGAUGGGCAUGCGUAUGAUUAGCUAGUUGGUAAGGUAACGGCUUACCAAGGCGACGAUCAUUAGGGGUUCUGAGAGGAAGGUCCCCCACACUGGUACUGAGACACGGACCAGACUCCUACGGGAGGCAGCAGUGAGGAAUAUUGGUCAAUGGGCGCAAGCCUGAACCAGCCAUGCCGCGUGCAGGAAAAGACGGCCUUAUGGGUUGUAAGCUGCUUUUACAUAAGACUAACCGUAUAUUUGCGAAUAUACCUGAAUGUAUUAUGAGAAUAAGGAUCGGCUAACUCCGUGCCAGCAGCAGC